UAACGCGUGAGUAACCUGCCCUAGAGUGGGGGACAACAGUUGGAAACGACUGCUAAUACCGCAUAAGCCCACGGUACCGCAUGGUACUGAGGGAAAAGGAUUUAUUCGCUUUAGGAUGGACUCGCGUCCAAUUAGCUAGUUGGUGAGGUAACGGCCCACCAAGGCGACGAUUGGUAGCCGGACUGAGAGGUUGAACGGCCACAUUGGGACUGAGACACGGCCCAGACUCCUACGGGAGGCAGCAGUGGGGGAUAUUGCACAAUGGGGGAAACCCUGAUGCAGCGACGCCGCGUGGAGGAAGAAGGUUUUCGGAUUGUAAACUCCUGUCGUUAGGGACGAUAAUGACGGUACCUAACAAGAAAGCACCGGCUAACUACGUGCCAGCAGCCGCGGUAAAACGUAGGGUGCAAGCGUUGUCCGGAAUUACUGGGUGUAAAGGGAGCGCAGGCGGGAAGACAAGUUGGAAGUGAAAACCAUGGGCUCAACCCAUGAAUUGCUUUCAAAACUGUUUUUCUUGAGUAGUGCAGAGGUAGAUGGAAUUCCCGGUGUAGCGGUGGAAUGCGUAGAUAUCGGGAGGAACACCAGUGGCGAAGGCGGUCUACUGGGCACCAACUGACGCUGAGGCUCGAAAGCAUGGGUAGCAAACAGGAUUAGAUACCCUGGUAGUCCAUGCCGUAAACGAUGAUUACUAGGUGU
Molecule: ribosomal RNA, 696 nt
Filed under: uncultured bacterium
Lineage: Bacteria
Description: bacterial SSU rRNA
Rfam family: Bacterial small subunit ribosomal RNA
Source: RNAcentral